This 227-nucleotide ribosomal RNA is filed under the name Aspergillus recurvatus. Its description in RNAcentral is "partial 28S ribosomal RNA". It matches the Rfam family "Eukaryotic large subunit ribosomal RNA", at positions 1 to 224 of the family's 3401-position model. The record is from RNAcentral. Lineage: Eukaryota; Fungi; Ascomycota; Eurotiomycetes; Eurotiales; Aspergillaceae.
GGUUGACCUCGGAUCAGGUAGGGAUACCCGCUGAACUUAAGCAUAUCAAUAAGCGGAGGAAAAGAAACCAACCGGGAUUGCCUCAGUAACGGCGAGUGAAGCGGCAAGAGCUCAAAUUUGAAAGCUGGCCCCUUCGGGGUCCGCGUUGUAAUUUGCAGAGGAUGCUUCGGGUGCGGCCCCUGUCUAAGUGCCCUGGAACGGGCCGUCAGAGAGGGUGAGAAUCCCGU